GCCUAGCCCCGAUAGAAGUGGAAAUCCUUUUGUGCCGGGGUUCGGCACAAAAGAUUGUAGCGUAUAGCGGGAUCAGCU
RNAcentral lists this small RNA (78 nucleotides) under Flavobacterium aquidurense. Its description in RNAcentral is "Flavo-1 RNA". It matches the Rfam family "Flavo-1 RNA". The record is from RNAcentral. Lineage: Bacteria; Pseudomonadati; Bacteroidota; Flavobacteriia; Flavobacteriales; Flavobacteriaceae.